AGUGAACGCUGGCGGUAUGCCUAACACAUGCAAGUCGAACGGCAGCACAGUAAGAUCUUUCUCUUACGGUUGGCGAGUGGCGGACGGGUAAGGAAUACAUCGGCAUCUACUUUUUCGUGGGUGAUAACGUAGGGCAACUUACGCUAAUACCGCAUACGACCUACGGGUUAAAUCAGUGGAUCUUCGGACCUUUCGCGAUUCAAUUAGCCGAUGUCGGAUUAGCUAGUUGGCGGGGUAAAGGCCCACCAAGGCGACGAUCCGUAGCUGGUCUGAGAGGAUGAUCAGCCACACUGGAACUGAGACACGGUCCAGACUCCUACGGGAGGCAGCAGUGGGGAAUAUUGGACAAUGGGCGCAAGCCUGAUCCAGCAAUACCGCGUGAGUGAAGAAGGCCUUCGGGUUGUAAAGCCCUUUUGUUGGGAAAGAAAAGCAGCAGGUUAAUACCCCGCUGUUCUGACGGUACCCAAAGAAUAAGCACCGGCUAACUUCGUG
RNAcentral lists this ribosomal RNA (492 nucleotides) under uncultured bacterium. RNAcentral describes it as "partial 16S ribosomal RNA". It matches the Rfam family "Bacterial small subunit ribosomal RNA", at positions 29 to 507 of the family's 1533-position model. The record is from RNAcentral.